AGGAUUCAAAAUCAAUAAUUUUUAACGGCUGAAAAUAAAAAUCCUAUAAAAAGUGGUGAUAUAGCACUAAAAUUUUCGAUCGGAAAUAUUGAUCUUGUUGUAGAUAGUAUAAAUAAUUUUGUAUCAAAAUUUCAUUUGAUUUGAAUACUUCUACACCGUUAAACUUGAAAACGGCAGAUAUCAACCAUUAAAAAUUAUUGAUUUUUAAUCCUUUCGAUCACUAGGUAAAUGAUAUCGAAAAAUCGCAAAAUUUAUUUUCUAGAUGCUUCAAAUACGCUAGAUCAAGUCUAACGGAGCCGAUUGUCGAUUCGGAAGCUCCAUCAUCGAAAACGGCUUAGGAGCACGGAGGCUUCCGUGCUCCUAAUAGCACACAAGACCUACUCUCUCUCUCUCUCUCUCACUCUCUCUCUCUCUAUAUAUAUAGAGUGCGACUACUAUACUUUUAUGAGUAUUGACUCUCUUAUACUCAUAAGUUUUCGGCCCUUAGAUUUAUUCCAUUGAUCAUUUUCACCUGUUAGAUCAUACUAUUCAGCCAACUACCCACUCAACCCUAGGGGACCACUAUUAUUCUAAGUAGGGAUCACCAUCAUCCUAACCACACAUCCAUCAAUCAAUGGUUAAAAAUUUAUGAGUAUAAGGGGGUCUAUACUCAUAAGAGUAUAAUAGCCCUAGCCUAUAUAUAUUUAUAGAACUAGGCUGGAAUAUUAUUAAUAGUACCAAUGACUUGGUGCUAUUAAGUUUUCUGCCCUUGGAUUAAAAGAUGAGCGGUUAGGAUGAUGUGGGCCCCCUAGGUUUGAGUGGGUGGUUAGUUGAAUAGUAUAAUCGAACGGAUGAAAAUGAUAAAAGAGGUAAAUCUAGUGGUAGAAAACUUGAUAGCACCAAAUGCUUUAUGCUAUCGAUAGUAUCCCAGCCGGACUCUAUAUAUAUAUAUAUAUAUAUAUAUAUAUAUAUAUAUAUAUAUAUAGUCCGGCUAUUAUAUUCUUAUGAGUACGAUCGCCUUCGUACUCAUUAAACAUUAUUUAGAGUAUUUAAAACUUCUAGAAAUUAAAUUUUAUAAUUUUUUAAUAUCAUUUACCUUACGAUAAAAAAAUCUUAAAAUUGAUAAUUUUUAAUGGCCGGUAUAGGAUACUUGCUAGUUUAACUGUGUAAAAGAAUCAGAAUCGGUUGAAUUUUUGAUAGAAAAUUCUAUUUACUAUCUAAAUAAAUAUCAAUAACUCCGAUCUUAAAUUGAAGGAUCCGAUCAUUCAUUUUUAGGACGUCGUUCAAUUUUGACUGUUCAUUUUAUGCCCGCUUGAUGGACUUUAUUAUGAUUUUGAAAAAUUAUGAAAUUUAUUUUUUUAGAAGUUUCAAAUACUCUAUAUUAUAUUUAACAGAGUGGAUCGUCGAUUCAGAAGCUCCAUCAUCGAAAAUAAUUUAUGAGUACAAAUGGUUCUAUACUCAUAAGAGUAUA
This 1450-nucleotide long non-coding RNA is filed under the name Ananas comosus (pineapple). Its description in RNAcentral is "long non-coding RNA (ACOM_LNC015204)". The record is from RNAcentral. Lineage: Eukaryota; Viridiplantae; Streptophyta; Magnoliopsida; Poales; Bromeliaceae.